AAGCCUGACCCGCCGAAUCCCCGAAACGCGGGGAGCCGGGGACCCACUCUCGACCACGUCCCCCCGGGGUGAAUCCGAAGUGCCUUCAACGCACCAGGUAGGGCUGCCUCCGGCCCGAACCCGUCAGCUAACCCGGUAGGCGACCGAGGAGAGGAGCC
This 158-nucleotide small RNA is filed under the name Streptosporangium subroseum. RNAcentral describes it as "c-di-AMP sequence". It matches the Rfam family "c-di-AMP riboswitch aptamer (ydaO/yuaA leader)". From Rfam's summary of the family: This family represents a conserved RNA structure found upstream of the ydaO and yuaA genes in Bacillus subtilis and related genes in other bacteria. The ydaO/yuaA element is thought to act as a genetic "off" switch for the ydaO and yuaA genes in its native state. The record is from Rfam by way of RNAcentral. Lineage: Bacteria; Bacillati; Actinomycetota; Actinomycetes; Streptosporangiales; Streptosporangiaceae.